GCGAAAGUGGCGGAAUUGGCAGACGCGCUGGACUUAGGAUCCAGUGGGAGCAUCCCUUAGGGGUUCGAGUCCCCUCUUUCGCACCA
This 86-nucleotide transfer RNA is filed under the name Candidatus Cloacimonadota bacterium. RNAcentral describes it as "tRNA-Leu". It matches the Rfam family "tRNA". Rfam says of the family: Transfer RNA (tRNA) molecules are approximately 80 nucleotides in length. Their secondary structure includes four short double-helical elements and three loops (D, anti-codon, and T loops). Lineage: Bacteria; Pseudomonadati; Candidatus Cloacimonadota. The record is from RNAcentral. RNAcentral also lists the same sequence under 2 other names.